This 398-nucleotide unclassified non-coding RNA is filed under the name Hevea brasiliensis (rubber tree). Lineage: Eukaryota; Viridiplantae; Streptophyta; Magnoliopsida; Malpighiales; Euphorbiaceae. The record is from RNAcentral.
GUUUGCAGAGAUCUGCGGUUUCUUUCCGGCGGCAAGGCUCAUCGGGAUUGGUCUGGGACGACCGGUUUUUGUCCGGCGAGUUGAAGCAAACGGCCACAGCUUCGGAGAAAGAAUCAGAGGAGAAUCAGGAGGCGAAAUCGACGGCCGUGGAGCCGAUCAGUAUCACGAUCGAGAGGAGCCGAUCCAACGGUGGCCGUGGGUACCGGACUGGGAAAGUGUCGCCGGCGAUUGAGCCACCAUCGCCGAAGGUCUCGGCCUGUGGCUUCUGCAGCGCGUUUGGGAAACCGGCGAAGAAGAGUCGCCGGACGAAAAAUGGUAAGCGUAGAUCGCGGUAAGGUUCGGAAUUUUCUCCGGCGAUCGGCGGCGGCGAUUUUGCCGGUCUGUGUUAGAAGAGUGAG